CAGAUUGUUUUCUGUAACCUGAAAACUGUGUUCACUCAAAAUAGAUCUCUUAUAAUCACAGGUUAGGAGAGCAUUAUUAAACGCAAAACUCAGCCCUCUGGGAGCUGGUGGAACUCACCCUCUAGAGAUUUUUUUCCUGCAGAAAAGGUUUCGUUACGGACACCCUGGAAUACUGUUUGGAAAGACAACAAGAGAAAAGAAGCUGCAUCCAUCGACUUGCUUUCACUGGAUGAUUUGGAUUUGGAAGCAGAGCCGGCUUUGCCUUGCUGUGUGAAGCAGAGAACCCCACGUCGCUGCAAUGGCGCCCGGCACGCUGCUCGCUCACCUCCGCGCUGACUGCAGCACCUCUGCUCCUUCACAGCACCCUUUGCUUCUGAGUGGCCUUGUCCCAUUCCCAGAUCCUAUUUCCCUUACCAUGGAAAGCGAAUUAAAAAGGCUGGUGGGGAAGAUAAAGGAUCCUGCUGUUCAGUGGGUGUAUGCGAUGGAAAGUUGCUACCUCCCCUCCCUGUGCCUGCUGCUUUUCCCAUCCG
This 530-nucleotide long non-coding RNA is filed under the name Anser brachyrhynchus (Pink-footed goose). Its description in RNAcentral is "lncRNA (ENSABRG00000005165.1)". The record is from RNAcentral. Lineage: Eukaryota; Metazoa; Chordata; Aves; Anseriformes; Anatidae.